AGAGUUUGAUCAUGGCUCAAAUUGAACGCUGGCGGCAUGCUUUACACAUGCAAGUCGAACGGCAGCACGGGAGCUUGCUCCUGGUGGCGAGUGGCGAACGGGUGAGUAAUAUAUCGGAACGUGUCCAAUAAUGGGGGAUAACUAGUCGAAAGAUUAGCUAAUACCGCAUACGCCCUGAGGGGGAAAGUGGGGGAUCUUCGGACCUCACGUUGAUGGAGCGGCCGAUAUCUGAUUAGCUAGUUGGUGGGGUAAAGGCCCACCAAGGCGACGAUCAGUAGCUGGUCUGAGAGGACGACCAGCCACACUGGGACUGAGACACGGCCCAGACUCCUACGGGAGGCAGCAGUGGGGAAUUUUGGACAAUGGGGGCAACCCUGAUCCAGCCAUGCCGCGUGAGUGAAGAAGGCCUUCGGGUUGUAAAGCUCUUUCGCAAGGGAAGAAACGAUUUAGACGAAUAAUCUAAGUUAAUGACGGUACCUUGAUAAGAAGCACCGGCUAACUACGUGCCAGCAGCCGCGGUAAUACGUAGGGUGCGAGCGUUAAUCGGAAUUACUGGGCGUAAAGCGAGCGCAGGCGGUUCUGCAAGUCAGAUGUGAAAUCCCCGGGCUCAACCUGGGAACUGCGUUUGACACUACAGAGCUAGAGUAUGGCAGAGGGAGGUAGAAUUCCACGUGUAGCAGUGAAAUGCGAAAGAUGUGCAGGAUUACCAAUGGCGAAGGCAGCCUCCUGGUCUAAUACUGACGCUCAUGCUCGAAAGCGUGAGGAGCAAACAGGAUUAUAUACCCUGAUAGUCCACGCCCUAACGAUGUCUACUACUUGUUGCUGUAGUAAAAUCCAUUAAUAACGCAGCUAACGCGUGAAAUAUGCCUGCCUGGAGAGUACCGUCGCAGAUUAAUACUCACAGGAUUGACGG
RNAcentral lists this ribosomal RNA (913 nucleotides) under uncultured bacterium. RNAcentral's name for it is "bacterial SSU rRNA". It matches the Rfam family "Bacterial small subunit ribosomal RNA", at positions 8 to 916 of the family's 1533-position model. The record is from RNAcentral.